GCAGCGUGUAACCAUUUACAAAUAUUUUCUAGAAAGUGAUUCAAUAUCUAUGGCAGUUGAAAGCAUCCUUCUUGGGAUACUGUAAAACCUAGAGCAGUCAAAUCUUUCCUCUCAGGUGCUGAGCUGUGAGAAAAGCCUCAGGAUGUGGCCUGUGCUGCCUUUGCCAGAAGAGUGCUGUCAGGAAGCAGGCAGAUCGGAAGGUAAUUCGGAAGCAUGUGCCUGCAACUCUUUAAUUAGCAAGAUUCUGUGUGAGCUCUGCCACUACCUGCCUGCGAGUGCCUGCGCUAUAAAUGGCUUGGACGGUCUUCCCUCAGAGAACUGAGACACAGGCAAUGGGUGGAGCACACGUUGCGCUCUAGGCAGCGUCAGAACUAUGUGCGCAUGCUCAGCAG
Molecule: long non-coding RNA, 392 nt
Filed under: Rattus norvegicus (Norway rat)
Lineage: Eukaryota; Metazoa; Chordata; Mammalia; Rodentia; Muridae
Description: long non-coding RNA NONRATT000238
Source: RNAcentral